Molecule: ribosomal RNA, 451 nt
Filed under: uncultured bacterium
Lineage: Bacteria
Description: partial 16S ribosomal RNA
Rfam family: Bacterial small subunit ribosomal RNA
Source: RNAcentral
AACGAACGCUGGCGGCAGGCCUAACACAUGCAAGUCGAACGGACGUAGCAAUACGUUAGUGGCGCACGGGAGAGUAACGCGUGGGAACCUACCUUUUGGUUCGGGAUAACAUCGGGAAACUGGUGCUAAUACCGGAUAAGCCCUUCGGGGGAAAGAUUUAUUGCCGAAAGAUGGGCCCGCGUUGGAUUAGCUAGUUGGUGAGGUAAUGGAUCACCAAGGCAACGAUCCAUAGCUGGUCUGAGAGGAUGAUCAGCCUCACUGGGACUGAGACACGGCCCAGACUCCUACGGGAGGCAGCAGUGGGGAAUAUUGGACAAUGGGGGAAACCCUGAUCCAGCCAUGCCGCGUGAAUGAUGAAGGCCUUCGGGUUGUAAAGUUCUUUUGGUGGGGACGAUGAUGACGGUACCCACAGAAUAAGCUCCGGCUAACUUCGUGCCAGCAGCCGCCGUAA